UGGGGAAUUUUGGACAAUGGGCGAAAGCCUGAUCCAGCAAUGCCGCGUGUGUGAAGAAGGCCUUCGGGUUGUAAAGCACUUUUGUCCGGAAAGAAAUCCUUGGCUCUAAUACAGUCGGGGGAUGACGGUACCGGAAGAAUAAGCACCGGCUAACUACGUGCCAGCAGCCGCGGUAAUACGUAGGGUGCAAGCGUUAAUCGGAAUUACUGGGCGUAAAGCGUGCGCAGGCGGUUUGCUAAGACCGAUGUGAAAUCCCCGGGCUCAACUGGGAACUGCAUUGGUGACUGGCAGGCUAGAGUAUGGCAGAGGGGGGUAGAAUUCCACGUGUAGCAGUGAAAUGCGUAGAGAUGUGGAGGAAUACCGAUGGCGAAGGCAGCCCCCUGGGCCAAUACUGACGCUCAUGCACGAAAGCGUGGGGAGCAAACAGGAUUAGAUACCCUGGUAGUCCACGCCCUAAACGAUGUCAACUAGUUGUCGGGUCUUCAUUGACUUGGUAACGUAGCUAACGCGUGAAGUUGACCGCCUGGGGAGUACGGUCGCAAGAUUAAAAACUCAAAGGAA
This 561-nucleotide ribosomal RNA is filed under the name uncultured bacterium. RNAcentral describes it as "partial 16S ribosomal RNA". It matches the Rfam family "Bacterial small subunit ribosomal RNA", at positions 355 to 909 of the family's 1533-position model. The record is from RNAcentral.